CUCAGCCUGACUCUUCAUUCCUGCCUUGUGUGACCCAGGGAUGGAGGACUGCCCUCCCAACUCAUUAUCCUCUUUGCCCAGGAGCUCCAUCCUGUUGCCAUCUGCUAAAAUCCUCAGCCCACCUGCAUAGUGAACAGCAUUCAUUGUUUUCCAGAAAUGUGCAAGAACCACAGUCUCCCCCAAGACUGAAGAUCUGCUUCAUCGACAUGGCAGGGAACGUGGCUGAACACAGAGGACUCAUUUUUGCAGCUUCCCUACCAGAGAGAGAGAGACACCCUUUUUACCCGAGUUCUGAGUUGAAAUAUCCUAGAAGAGAACUCUGAUUGGCCUGGCUUGGGUCACAUGCCUGUCCUUGAGUUGAUCAACUGUGAUUAGUUAUAAGUGUACUCAUUAGUAACUUCCCCUGGAACCUUAGAUUUGAUGUGGGGUAAGACUUCCAAAAACAAACAAAAAAAUAAAACAGAAGAAUGCUAUUUCUGGAGAAAAGAAUCUGAAAAAUAGAUUAACAAUAUAAAGGCAGCACAAGUAGCAAAGAGUUAAUAAGCUGUAAUUUCAGGAGCACUCCCUUAUUGUCUCAUAAUUCCUUGGACUACCUCCAAUAGUUAAGAAUCUUAGUAAUAACACUCUGAAAAAGGCAACUUGUGAAACUCACUUGAGUUUAAAUGACUGGUAGGCCAUCUCUUUUCUGAGAUCAGAACCUUUUGUUUGCAGAGGGAGAAAGAAAUAGGAUGGAGAAGGCAGACUUAGA
RNAcentral lists this long non-coding RNA (748 nucleotides) under Homo sapiens (human). Its description in RNAcentral is "non-protein coding lnc-IGSF11-5:8". The record is from RNAcentral. Lineage: Eukaryota; Metazoa; Chordata; Mammalia; Primates; Hominidae.